Molecule: long non-coding RNA, 2088 nt
Filed under: Populus tremula
Lineage: Eukaryota; Viridiplantae; Streptophyta; Magnoliopsida; Malpighiales; Salicaceae
Description: long non-coding RNA (PTRE_LNC001852)
Source: RNAcentral
AACAACAAGCUUUACAGGAACUCUUUCCAAACCUUUAUUGAUCUCGUAAACAAAGGAAACUUAUACACAUAUCCGUAUGUGUGCUAUGCACAAAGAUUGCAUGCUACACCAAGCUAUCUCUAACUCGUACUCUACAUGUUCUCACAUGCCCCACGCAUGCCUCACAUGCCCCAUGCAUGUCUCUCUUCAACCAAGAGCUGCAACUCUCCCAUGAUCUCCCAUGAUCUCCCAUGAUCUUAGUGGGUUGAGAGCAAUCCCUGGUCAGCCCCCACGUUUUCAGCCCCCAUGAUCCCAUGAUCUUGGAUAUCCAUAACUACCACUAACCCACAUUCUGCAUGUCCACUUGGCAGCCCCAACUGCCAGUUCUCGCUGCGUCAUCUGUUGAGUUUCUCGCAUGCCUUGGACAGUCCGUCGUCCAAGCUUCAGAUUGUGCCAAGUCAACCCAACGACUUUCACAAGCUGUUGCUCGUUGCCGAAUUCGCAUCUGCCCGCAGGCUGCCAAUUCCUGCGCUGCCGAAUUCGCAUCUGAGUGCAGGAUGCCACUGUCUGCGCUGCCGAACUACGCGACAGACCCAGUUCUCGUCAGCCUAUCCCCCUGACGAGUUUUCCUGCUUGGUCUGGACAGUCCAUCGUCCAACCCAUGUUUGUCAACAAUUUGCGCUGCCGAUUUUCCUUUGACGAACCUACAGUGCACAAAUCUGCGCUGCCGAUUUAUCCCACUGUUGGCAUAGCUGCCAGCACCCUUAGGCACUGUUUUGACUAGCCUGCCGAAGCGUGCACCUCGUGCACAUUUAAUAUUGUUACAAACCACCCCCACCAAAAAAACCCGACGCCCUCGUCGGACAGAUUCGAAGUACCCUUGCAUCGCAUCUGUUCCUCGUCACACUCCAUGUUUCUCCACACGAACCUCUAGCUUUGCCCACAUUUAACAAACCCGUGGCUAAAAUAUUAGUAGAGUGAUGUAGAGUUUAUGAGCUAACUUAACUAGAGAGAAGGAUACUGACUUAGUCUCAGAAGUAGAUGAGGAUGCAUAUUCUUCUGGUUUGGAGGAGGGAAACUCUGACAUUUGCACCAGCACGUCACUUCAGCUUUCUUCUAGGCCACCUGCAAUAAGUGGAACCAGUAUCUAAGCUAAUAAACUUCUGAAAUUUCAUUUUUUAAUAGGCACACCGACCACCAACUCCUGUGAGCUAAAAUCCCCAAAAUUAUAACAAGAAAACCACCCCAAUGCUGAAGAUCACCCAGAGUAAAUACCACUACGCAAAAUAAAUAAAUAAUAAUAACAACCAAAAUUUCUCAAGAAAAUCACAAAAUCCCAAUUAGACUCGUUCUUCCCAUAGUUCAUUUUUUAACUAGAAAACCAAUACCUACCAUUAUUUUCCAACUUCUACAAAUUUAUGCAUCCUCAGCUCUCCAAUUACUACACCGGUAUAAAUUAUGUGCACAAAUACACGCAUGAAUGACAAUAAAUCUUCCCACGAAAUGGAAAAAUCACUUGGAAUUGACAAACCACAAUCAAAAUGCUUGCAAUCAAACACAACAGCUCACCUCGCUCGCCACGCCAACAAUGCAGAUGCCAGAGUCGCUCCCUCACUCACUUCUUACUAUCCAAAAACAAGCCUUCUUGCCCCGAUCAUCACAAUCCAAUCCGAAAUCUUGAAUAUACGCGGCAAUGCAAGCUCCUUGGGUUACAGUACAAGCUAAUUCUCUGUACAGAUGUCACGUCUCCAUUUCAUUAAAAAAAUUAUUAAUCAUGAUAGUAGAGAUAGAGAAACGGUGUACGGAGAUCGGAUCGGAAGUUCAUGUCACAGAAUCCAGGACAAGAGAAACGUCAUUAUCACGUCUCUCAUCACUCGCUAUAUAUAAUUAUUAUUUUAGUAUCUACGAAAUUGUAUCAAUAUAUAAACAACUGCAAAUUGAUACCAGAAAAAAAAACACGGUGCGGUACGGUACCCGAAAAGUUGAGAGUGUGAGAGAAGAAGAAACCGUCAACGGAAGUCAAGAGAGAGAGGAGUCAGGGUCUUCUCGUUUCUUUUUCUUUCUUCUCCCAGCAGAGUGAGGGUGUCUUUCUGUUUUUCCUAAUUUUGG